AGCAUGCAGCUUGUGAGUCGCCACGUCAGCUCGCUAGAGUAUUUAAGCAGUUCCAUAUAUAAAUUCAAGGCCUUUUCAGAAAUCUACGCAAGCCGUUUGCUCGUUAUUUCACUUUAAUGGCUGCCCCGGUUCAACCUGCCCCCGAAGCUUUGCAAGCGCUCGUUGGAGCUGCUGUCGCUCAGGGAGCUGACGCGGUUCCUGGAGACUAACAAACGCCUAUUGAAAGCAAUGAGCUCGGGCAGUUGAGAGAGCGGAUUGAGGAGCUGCGCAAGCUACAAGACUCGGGGUCUGUGGACUCAACGCUUCGCCAUCUAAGAGAAAUGUUGGCCAAGAAGUUGCCAUAGCUAAAGAGAUUCAGAAAGCGCUUAAAUCUGCGUCCUCUGCAACUCCUCGGCGCUUAGAGUCUGGCCCGUACUACUGAGACUCGUGUCCUUCUGUAAUAUGUUAUUUCUGUGGUCGCAGAGGACACAUAAGCAGAAACUGUUAUGCCAAACGAGGUGGUCGUGGCCAAGGUCGCGGCUAUUAAUAUGAUCGAGUCAUUGUUUCAAUUUCAUGUUAAUUUAUUUCUCUAUAAAGGGUUAAUUCCAGGUGUAGUUACUUCAUUUUUCCCGCUUCUCUGUGGAAUAUUUUUAUUAUACUUUAUAUCUUCACAGUUUACAUACUCGUGGUUUUUAUUACAUAUUAUUAGUGAAUGUAUUCAAUGGAAGCUAUUUUGCAUAGUUAUACACUCUUUCCGUAAUUUUAGGGGAAAUCUAAAUCAACUCCCUAUAGCUUGUCUUCGGACGGGCUUCUUAUAUCCAAUAUCGUAAGAUCGAGGUAAUUUCUCAUAUAUUUCACUGUAUUUUCGCCGGGAGAAAGGACGCCAUCGAAAAAUCGAGGUUAUUGUAAAAAAAUUUUGUUGUUUCAGAGUUUUAUAUGGGGGUUGGGGGGUGAAUUAACCCCUGCGAAAUGAACUCCCAAGAUUUGGGAGCUCCUAGGAUUUCCUAGGAUAUCCUGGAUACUCCUAAAUAUUGGGAAAUUGAAUUUGGGAGUAUCUAGGAAAACAUGGGAGCCAAAUGCGCGCCUCUGAUCAUUUGGGAGUUCCUGGGAUAUCCUAGGAACUCCCGAAUCCUCGGCUAUUCUCCUAGAUUCUCCCCAAAAGUUGGGAAACCCAGCGCUUGCUAAACAUCUCGGACAAAAUUGCACAGUUUUCUAAAAAGAGUCUUAUGGAGGACAAGCCCAUCGCAGGUUUGCUGGCAUCUCUGCUAAUUAUUAUUAUAAUAAUAGAGGGGAAGAAGGAACAACUCAACUGAAUUAUUCGCUGAUGACAACAGUAAAGAAAAUAAAUGACUUCAUAAAUCUUCUCGCGUAUGUUUAUUUUCAAAUAACAUGAUGGAAACUUGAUUUGUAAAUCACUGUUAAAGUCAAUUUAUUCAUUUCCCAAAAUUUAAUUGGAAAAAUUUUAAGGUCUACAGUCUUUCAUUUGUAUUUUGGAAUUGCUGUCGUAUGGGUAGCUCUAGCAUGGGAUAGCUGUGGUAUGCUUAGCCAAUCAGAUGCCAGGUUUUUGGCGGGCUUUUUCCCGCGCGUCGCGUUCAAAAGUGAUGUCCCGCUCGCCACAACUUCAAAAGGAGUUCAAACCAUUGUUGUGAGAGGGGUUUCGCCGAGGAUUUCACGCCAAAUACACCCAGUUUUCAUCUUAUUUUAGCACUUCUGCUGAUUAAACAACUAUCUGCAGCGGUGCAGCAAGUAGGAGACUUGGAUGCUUCUUACCAGGUGGUUGAGGAAUGCCGUUGCCACAGUAGCGAAGCCAGCACACUGGUGUCUUGGGAAGCUGGUAGACGUAGAAUGCACCGCAGUUCCUGACUUUGAUGUAGUUGCUCCAUCUGCAGCAGUUUUUAGUCCAGUGGUAGCACACCUUGCGAGUCACCAUACCUUGGGCUACAGUGGGAUGAGCUCCCACCAUCCACCCAGGCGCGUGGGUUCCACAGCGUUUUUCAAGUACACAACUUGUUGGCAUAGCAUUGCCUGCUUGUCCAGUGAAACGGUACCACAGGUUACCUGGAAACUCAUUCUUGUCACAGCGGAGGGCAUUUUGUGCGGUAUUGGCCAUUGCACGAUCGGCUCCGUGUAACAUUGUGUACGAUCUGCAUUCUAAAGAAAAACACAGCUUUUGAUUUAUCGGAUAUCAUCUUUUUUUUUUGUAAAUUGUCUUACUCGGGCAGUUGAGAGAGCGGAUUGAGGAGCUGCGUAAGCUACAAGACUCGGGGUCUGUGGACUCAACGCUUCGCCAUCUAAGAGAAAUGUUGGCCAAGAAGUUGCCAUAGCUAAAGAGAUUCAGAAAGCGCUUAAAUCUGCGUCCUCUGCAACUCCUCGGCGCUUAGAGUCUGGCCCGUACUACUGAGACUCGUGUCCUUCUGUAAUAUGUUAUUUCUGUGGUCGCAGAGGACACAUAAGCAGAAACUGUUAUGCCAAACGAGGUGGUCGUGGCCAAGGUCGCGGCUAUUAAUAUGAUCGAGUCAUUGUUUCAAUUUCAUGUUAAUGUAUUUCUCUAUAAAGGGUUAAUUCCAGGUGUAGUUACUUCAUUUUUCCCGCUUCUCUGUGGAAUAUUUUUAUUAUACUUUAUAUCUUCACAGUUUACAUACUCGUGGUUUUUAUUACAUAUUAUUAGUGAAUGUAUUCAAUGGAAGCUAUUUUGCAUAGUUAUACCACUCUUUUACGUAAUUUUAGGGGAAAUCUAAAUCAACUCCCUAUAGCUUGUCUUCGGACGGGCUUCUUAUAUCCAAUAUCGUAAGAUCGAGGUAAUUUCUUAUAUAUUUCACUGUAUUUUCGCCGGGAGAAAGGACGCCAUCGAAAAAUCGAGGUUAUUGUAAAAAUUUUUUUGUUGUUUCAGAGUUUUAUAUGGGAGUUGGGGGGUGAAUUAACCCCUGCGAAAUGAACUCCCAAGAUUUGGGAGCUCCUAGGAUUUCCUAGGAUAUCCUGGAUACUCCUAAAUAUUGGGAAAUUGAAUUUGGGAGUAUCUAGGAAAACAUGGGAGCCAAAUGCGCGCCUCUGAUCGUUUGGGAGUUCCUGGGAUAUCCUAGGAACUCCCGAAUCCUCGGCUAUUCUCCUAGAUUCUCCCCAAAAGUUGGGAAACCCAGCGCUUGCUAAACUUGCUAAACAUCUCGGACAAAAUUGCACAGUUUUCUAAAAAGAGUCUUAUGGAGGAAAAGCCCAUCGCAGGUUUGCUGGCAUCUCUGCUAAUUAUUAUUAUAAUAAUAGAGGGGAAGAAGGAACAACUCAACUGAAUUAUUCGCUGAUGACAACAGUAAAGAAAAUAAAUGACUUCAUAAAUCUUCUCGCGUAUGUUUAUUUUCAAAUAACAUGAUGGAAACUUGAUUUGUAAAUCACUGUUAAAGUCAAUUUAUUCAUUUCCCAAAAUUUAAUUGGAAAAAUUUUAAGGUCUACAGUCUUUCAUUUGUAUUUUGGAAUUGCUGUCGUAUGGGUAGCUCUAGCAUGGGAUAGCUGUGGUAUGCUUAGCCAAUCAGAUGCCAGGUUUUUGGCGGGCUUUUUCCCGCGCGUCGCGUUCAAAAGUGAUGUCCCGCUCGCCACAACUUCAAAAGGAGUUCAAACCAUUGUUUGUGAGAGGGGUUUCGCCGAGGAUUUCACGCCAAAUACACCCAGUUUUCAUCUUAUUUUAGCACUUCUGCUGAUUAAACAACUAUCUGCAGCGGUGCAGCAAGUAGGAGACUUGGAUGCUUCUUACCAGGUGGUUGAGGAAUGCCGUUGCCACAGUAGCGAAGCCAGCACACUGGUGUCUUGGGAAGCUGGUAGACGUAGAAUGCACCGCAGUUCCUGACUUUGAUGUAGUUGCUCCAUCUGCAGCAGUUUUUAGUCCAGUGGUAGCACACCUUGCGAGUCACCAUACCUUGGGCUACAGUGGGAUGAGCUCCCACCAUCCACCCAGGCGCGUGGGUUCCACAGCGUUUUUCAAGUACACAACUUGUUGGCAUAGCAUUGCCUGCUUGUCCAGUGAAACGGUACCACAGGUUACCUGGAAACUCAUUCUUGUCACAGCGGAGGGCAUUUUGUGCGGUAUUGGCCAUUGCACGAUCGGCUCCGUGUAACAUUGUGUACGAUCUGCAUUCUAAAGAAAAACACAGCUUUUGAUUUAUCGGAUAUCAUCUUUUUUUUGUAAAUUGUCUUAGUAAGUAUUUUUAUCAACAUGUCGAUCACAUACUAUUGUUUAGGAAUACUAGCUCAUUUUAUUGUAUUGUUUUUAGACGGUCAUGAAAAUUAAUAGCAUCCAAAAGUA
Nematostella vectensis (starlet sea anemone) is the source of this 4270-nucleotide RNA transcript. RefSeq lists it as uncharacterized. The record is from RefSeq and is a predicted model, not a curated record. The transcript is spliced from 6 exons. NCBI's taxonomy places the organism in Eukaryota, Metazoa, Cnidaria, Anthozoa, Actiniaria, Edwardsiidae.